Molecule: long non-coding RNA, 233 nt
Filed under: Olea europaea (common olive)
Lineage: Eukaryota; Viridiplantae; Streptophyta; Magnoliopsida; Lamiales; Oleaceae
Description: long non-coding RNA (OEUR_LNC007639)
Source: RNAcentral
GAAAAGUGUUGGAAUUACAUAAAUUACAUACUUCAUACUUUAUGCAGUGUAAAAGGAUUCUUACUUACCCUAAAAAUUUAUAGAUACUUAUACCUGGGGAUUGGAAUUUAAAAUAGGAAGUCAAUUUUGACUAAUAUAAAUCUUUGAAGCAACGAGAAGGAUUUUGGAGCAUGAUUUCUUUGGUUUUCUCUUCGAAAAAUUAAAACGAUCUAACAACGUAGGAUACCAUUUUA